UUGGAGGGCAAGUCUGGUGCCAGCAGCCGCGGUAAUUCCAGCUCCAAUAGCGUAUAUUAAAGUUGUUGCAGUUAAAAAGCUCGUAGUUGAACCUUGGGCCUGGCUGGCCGGUCCGCCUCACCGCGUGUACUGGUCCGGCCGGGCCUUUCCUUCUGGGGAACCUCAUGCCCUUCACUGGGCGUGUUGGGGAACCAGGACUUUUACUUUGAAAAAAUUAGAGUGUUCAAAGCAGGCCUUUGCUCGAAUACAUUAGCAUGGAAUAAUAGAAUAGGACGUGUGGUUCUAUUUUGUUGGUUUCUAGGACCGCCGUAAUGAUUAAUAGGGAUAGUCGGGGGCAUCAGUAUUCAAUCGUCAGAGGUGAAAUUCUUGGAUUGAUUGAAGACUAACUACUGCGAAAGCAUUUGCCAAGGAUGUUUUCAUUAAUCAGUGAACGAAAGUUAGGGGAUCGAAGACGAUCAUAUACCGUCGUAGUCUUAACCAUAAACUAUGCCGACUAGGGAUCGGACGGUGUUAGUAUUUUGACCCGUUCGGCGCCUUACGGGAAAC
Molecule: ribosomal RNA, 546 nt
Filed under: uncultured Ascomycota
Lineage: Eukaryota; Fungi; Ascomycota
Description: SSU rRNA
Rfam family: Eukaryotic small subunit ribosomal RNA
Source: RNAcentral